This 1360-nucleotide ribosomal RNA is filed under the name uncultured bacterium. RNAcentral describes it as "bacterial SSU rRNA". It matches the Rfam family "Bacterial small subunit ribosomal RNA", at positions 28 to 1381 of the family's 1533-position model. The record is from RNAcentral.
GAUGAACACUAGCUAUAGGCUUAACACAUGCAAGUCGAGGGGCAGCAUGGUCAUAUUCUUGCUAAGACAGAUGGCGACCGGCGCACGGCUGCGUAACGCGUACGCAACUUGCCUCACACAGGGGGAUAACCCGUCCAAUGACGGACUCAUACCGCGUACACUCUAUGUCGGGCAUCCAAUGUAGAGGAAAUGAUAUUCGCUGUCACAUACGCCUGCGUCCUAUUAGCUAGUUGGUGAGGUAACGGCUCACCAAAGCGACCAUGGAUAAGGGAACUGAGAGGUUGAACCCCCACACUGGUACUGAGACACGGACCAGACUCCUACGGAAGGCACCAGUGACGAAUAUUGUUCAAUGGGCGCAAGACUGAACCACCCAAGUCGCGUGAAGGAUGACUGUCUUAUGGAUUGUAAACUUCUUUUAUUCGGUAAUAACAAGAGUCACGAGCGGCUCCCUGCGUGUACUGUAUGAAAUAAUCAUUGUAUAACUCCGUGCCAGCAGCCGCGGUAAUACGGAGGAUGCGAGCGCUAUCCGGAUCUAUUGGGUUUACAGGGUGCGUAGCGGCCUGUUAGUCAGCGGUGAAAUCUAGGAGCUUAACUCCUAAAUUGCCAUUGAUACUGGCGGGCUUGAGUGUAGAUGAGGUAGGCGGAAUGCGUGGUGUAGCGGUGGAAUGCAUAGAUAUCACGCAGAACUCCGAUUGCGAAGGCAGCUUACUAAGGUACAACUGACGCUGAAGCACGAAAGCGUGGGUAUCAAACAGGAUUAGAUACCCUGGUAGUCCACGCAGUAAACGAUGAUAACUGGGCGUAUGCGAUAUACAGUAUGCUCCUAAGCGAAAGCGUUAAGUUAUCCACCUGGGGAGUACGCCGGCAACGGUGAAACUCAAAGGAAUUGACGGGGGCCCGCACAAGCGGAGGAACAUGUGGUUUAAUUCGAUGAUACGCGAGGAACCUUACCCGGGAUUGAAAUGUAGAUGACCGCUCCUGAAAGGGAGUUUUCCUUCGGGACAUCUAUGUAGGUGCUGCAUGGUUGUCGUCAGCUCGUGCCGUGAGGUGUCGGCUUAAGUGCCAUAACGAGCGCAACCCCUGUCUACGGUUGCCAUCAGGUAAUGCUGGGAACUCCGUAGAGACUGCCGUCGUAAGGCGUGAGGAAGGUGGGGAUGACGUCAAAUCAGCACGGCCCUUACAUCCGGGGCGACACACGUGUUACAAUGGUAAGGACAAAGGGCAGCUACCUGGCGACAGGAUGCGAAUCUCUAAACCUUAUCACAGUUCGGAUCGGAGUCUGCAACUCGACUCCGUGAAGCUGGAUUCGCUAGUAAUCGCGCAUCAGCCAUGGCGCGGUGAAUACGUUCCCGGGCCU